GGGGUUGUAGCUCAGUGGUAGAGCACUUGCCUCACAAGCAUUAGGCCCUGGGCUCAAUACUCAGCACCA
Ictidomys tridecemlineatus (thirteen-lined ground squirrel) is the source of this 69-nucleotide non-coding RNA. The record is from Rfam. NCBI's taxonomy places the organism in Eukaryota, Metazoa, Chordata, Mammalia, Rodentia, Sciuridae.